This 3002-nucleotide ribosomal RNA is filed under the name Salmonella enterica. RNAcentral's name for it is "bacterial LSU rRNA". It matches the Rfam family "Bacterial large subunit ribosomal RNA". The record is from RNAcentral. Lineage: Bacteria; Pseudomonadati; Pseudomonadota; Gammaproteobacteria; Enterobacterales; Enterobacteriaceae.
UUAAGCGACUAAGCGUACACGGUGGAUGCCCUGGCAGUCAGAGGCGAUGAAGGGCGUGCUAAUCUGCGAUAAGCGCCGGUAAGGUGAUAUGAACCGUUAUAACCGGCGAUACCCGAAUGGGGAAACCCAGUGUGACUCGUCACACUAUCAUUAACUGAAUCCAUAGGUUAAUGAGGCGAACCGGGGGAACUGAAACAUCUAAGUACCCCGAGGAAAAGAAAUCAACCGAGAUUCCCCCAGUAGCGGCGAGCGAACGGGGAGGAGCCCAGAGCCUGAAUCAGCAUGUGUGUUAGUGGAAGCGUCUGGAAAGGCGCGCGAUACAGGGUGACAGCCCCGUACACAAAAGCGCAUGUGCUGUGAGCUCGAUGAGUAGGGCGGGACACGUGGUAUCCUGUCUGAAUAUGGGGGGACCAUCCUCCAAGGCUAAAUACUCCUGACUGACCGAUAGUGAACCAGUACCGUGAGGGAAAGGCGAAAAGAACCCCGGCGAGGGGAGUGAAAAAGAACCUGAAACCGUGUACGUACAAGCAGUGGGAGCCCCACCACUAAGCCAGUGGUGAACUCCACAUACGCAUCCUUUGCUGAGGAUGCGGUUAACGGAGCGAAAGCGACGUUCAACCGCAAAAGAAGCAGAGGGGGCUUAGUGGUGGGGUGACUGCGUACCUUUUGUAUAAUGGGUCAGCGACUUAUAUUCUGUAGCAAGGUUAACCGAAUAGGGGAGCCGGAGGGAAACCGAGUCUUAAUUGGGCGUUAAGUUGCAGGGUAUAGACCCGAAACCCGGUGAUCUAGCCAUGGGCAGGUUGAAGGUUGGGUAACACUAACUGGAGGACCGAACCGACUAAUGUUGAAAAAUUAGCGGAUGACCUGUGGCUGGGGGUGAAAGGCCAAUCAAACCGGGAGAUAGCUGGUUCUCCCCGAAAGCUAUUUAGGUAGCGCCUCGUGAAUUCAUCUCCGGGGGUAGAGCACUGUUUCGGCUAGGGGGCCAUCCCGGCUUACCAACCCGAUGCAAACUGCGAAUACCGGAGAAUGUUAUCACGGGAGACACACGGCGGGUGCUAACGUCCGUCGUGAAGAGGGAAACAACCCAGACCGCCAGCUAAGGUCCCAAAGUCAUGGUUAAGUGGGAAACGAUGUGGGAAGGCCCAGACAGCCAGGAUGUUGGCUUAGAAGCAGCCAUCAUUUAAAGAAAGCGUAAUAGCUCACUGGUCGAGUCGGCCUGCGCGGAAGAUGUAACGGGGCUAAACCAUGCACCGAAGCUGCGGCAGCGACACUAUGUGUUGUUGGGUAGGGGAGCGUUCUGUAAGCCUGUGAAGGUGGCCUGUGAGGGUUGCUGGAGGUAUCAGAAGUGCGAAUGCUGACAUAAGUAACGAUAAAGCGGGUGAAAAGCCCGCUCGCCGGAAGACCAAGGGUUCCUGUCCAACGUUAAUCGGGGCAGGGUGAGUCGACCCCUAAGGCGAGGCCGAAAGGCGUAGUCGAUGGGAAACGGGUUAAUAUUCCCGUACUUGGUGUUACUGCGAAGGGGGGACGGAGAAGGCUAUGUUGGCCGGGCGACGGUUGUCCCGGUUUAAGCGUGUAGGCUGGUUUUCCAGGCAAAUCCGGAAAAUCAAGGCUGAGGCGUGACGACGAGGCACUACGGUGCUGAAGCAACAAAUGCCCUGCUUCCAGGAAAAGCCUCUAAGCAUCAGGUAACAUCAAAUCGUACCCCAAACCGACACAGGUGGUCAGGUAGAGAAUACCAAGGCGCUUGAGAGAACUCGGGUGAAGGAACUAGGCAAAAUGGUGCCGUAACUUCGGGAGAAGGCACGCUGACACGUAGGUGAAGUGAUUUACUCAUGGAGCUGAAGUCAGUCGAAGAUACCAGCUGGCUGCAACUGUUUAUUAAAAACACAGCACUGUGCAAACACGAAAGUGGACGUAUACGGUGUGACGCCUGCCCGGUGCCGGAAGGUUAAUUGAUGGGGUCAGCGCAAGCGAAGCUCCUGAUCGAAGCCCCGGUAAACGGCGGCCGUAACUAUAACGGUCCUAAGGUAGCGAAAUUCCUUGUCGGGUAAGUUCCGACCUGCACGAAUGGCGUAAUGAUGGCCAGGCUGUCUCCACCCGAGACUCAGUGAAAUUGAACUCGCUGUGAAGAUGCAGUGUACCCGCGGCAAGACGGAAAGACCCCGUGAACCUUUACUAUAGCUUGACACUGAACAUUGAGCCUUGAUGUGUAGGAUAGGUGGGAGGCUUUGAAGUGUGGACGCCAGUCUGCAUGGAGCCGACCUUGAAAUACCACCCUUUAAUGUUUGAUGUUCUAACGUGGACCCGUGAUCCGGGUUGCGGACAGUGUCUGGUGGGUAGUUUGACUGGGGCGGUCUCCUCCUAAAGAGUAACGGAGGAGCACGAAGGUUGGCUAAUCCUGGUCGGACAUCAGGAGGUUAGUGCAAUGGCAUAAGCCAGCUUGACUGCGAGCGUGACGGCGCGAGCAGGUGCGAAAGCAGGUCAUAGUGAUCCGGUGGUUCUGAAUGGAAGGGCCAUCGCUCAACGGAUAAAAGGUACUCCGGGGAUAACAGGCUGAUACCGCCCAAGAGUUCAUAUCGACGGCGGUGUUUGGCACCUCGAUGUCGGCUCAUCACAUCCUGGGGCUGAAGUAGGUCCCAAGGGUAUGGCUGUUCGCCAUUUAAAGUGGUACGCGAGCUGGGUUUAGAACGUCGUGAGACAGUUCGGUCCCUAUCUGCCGUGGGCGCUGGAGAACUGAGGGGGGCUGCUCCUAGUACGAGAGGACCGGAGUGGACGCAUCACUGGUGUUCGGGUUGUCAUGCCAAUGGCACUGCCCGGUAGCUAAAUGCGGAAGAGAUAAGUGCUGAAAGCAUCUAAGCACGAAACUUGCCCCGAGAUGAGUUCUCCCUGAGACUUAGAGUCUCCUGAAGGAACGUUGAAGACGACGACGUUGAUAGGCCGGGUGUGUAAGCGCAGCGAUGCGUUGAGCUAACCGGUACUAAUGAACCGUGAGGCUUAACCUU